RNAcentral lists this ribosomal RNA (119 nucleotides) under Salmo salar (Atlantic salmon). The record is from RNAcentral. Lineage: Eukaryota; Metazoa; Chordata; Actinopteri; Salmoniformes; Salmonidae.
GCUUACGGCCAUACUAUCCUCAAUACGCCCGAUCUCUUCUGAUCUCAAAAGCUAUGCAGCGUCAGGCCUGGUCAGUACUUGGUUGGGGGACCGCUAGGGAAUAUCAGGUGCUGUAAGCU